Oncorhynchus keta (chum salmon) is the source of this 289-nucleotide long non-coding RNA. RefSeq lists it as uncharacterized. Lineage: Eukaryota; Metazoa; Chordata; Actinopteri; Salmoniformes; Salmonidae. The transcript has 3 exons. The record is from RefSeq and is a predicted model, not a curated record.
GGUAGAUUGAGUUUGAGGUGUGGCAGCUGAACUACAGAUCAGGGUAGAUUGAGUUUGAGGUGUGGCAGCUGAACUACAGAUCAGGGUAGAUUGAGUUUGAGGUGUGGCAGCUGAACUACAGAUCAGGGUAGAUUGAGUUUGAGGUGUGGCAGCUGAACUACAGAUCAGGGUAGAUUGAGUUUGAGGUGUGGCAGCUGAACUACAGAUCAGGGUAGAUUGAGUUUGAGGUGUGGCAGCUGAACUACAGAUCAGGGUAGAUUGAGUUUGAGGUGUGGCAGCUGAACUACAG